AAGUGUUUCUACAUUUCGGCUGCUUUCAAUAUUCUGCGAAAAAACAAGGAAUUGCUUGUUGAUUUUAAAACAAAUGAAAGGAAAU
This is a long non-coding RNA of Etheostoma cragini (Arkansas darter), 85 nucleotides long. RefSeq lists it as uncharacterized. Lineage: Eukaryota; Metazoa; Chordata; Actinopteri; Perciformes; Percidae. The transcript is spliced from 3 exons. The record is from RefSeq and is a predicted model, not a curated record.